CCUGGUUGAUCCUGCCAAUAGUCAUAUGCUUGUCUCAAAGAUUAAGCCAUGCAUGUGUAAGUAAUAACAAAUUCAGACUGUGAAACUGCGAAUGGCUCAUUAAAUCAGUUAUAGUUUGUUUGAUGGUAUCCACUACUCGAAUAACCAUAGUAAUUCUAGAGAUAAUAUGUGGAACAAAGCCUAACUUAUGGAAGGGGUGCAUUUAAUAGAUAAAAGGUCAACACGGGCUCUGCCCGUUGUUGGGAAGAUUCAUGAUAACUUGACGAAUUGCACGACCAUCAUGCCGGUGAUGUAUUAUUCAAAUUUCUGCCCUAUCAACUUUCGAUGGUAGGAUAGUGGCCUACCAUGGUGGUGAUGGGUGAAAGAGAUUUAGGGUUCUAUUUUAGAUAGUGAGUCUGACAAAUGGCUACCACAUCCAAGGAAGGCAGCAGGCGCGCAGAUUACCCAAUCCUGACACGGGGAGUUAGUGACAAUAAAUAACAAUAUCGGGCUCAAUGAGUCUGGUAAUUGGAAUGAGUAGAAUCUAAAUCCCUUAAAGAGGAUCCAUUAGAGGGCAAUUUUAAUGCCAGCAGCCACGGUAAUUCCAGCUCCAAUAGCGUAUAUUUAAGUUGUUGCAGUUAAAAAGAUCAUAGUUGGACUUUAGGAUGGGCCGUCUGGUCAGCUAAUGGUGUGCACCGAUCGUCUCGUCCCUUCUGUCGACAAUGCACUCUUGGCAUUAACUUACCGGGUCGUGCCUCCGCUGCUGUUACUUUGAAGAAAUUAGAGUGCUCAAAUCAAGCCUACGCUCUAUAUACAUUAGCAUGGGAUAACAUUAUAGGAUUUCGGUCCUAUUACAUUGGCCUUUUGGAUCGGAGUAAUGAUUAACAAGGACAGUCAGGGGCAUUCGUAUUUCAUAGUCAGAGGUGAAAUUCUUGCAUUUAUUAAAGACGAAAAACUAUGAAAUCAUUUGCCAAGGAUGUUUUCAAUAAUCAAGAACGAAAGUUGGAGGCUCAAAGAUGAUCAAAUACCGUCCUAGUCUCAACCAUAAACGAUGCCGACUAGGGAUUGACGAAUAUUGCUUUUAGGACUCUGCCGGCACCUUAUGAGAAAUCAAAGUUUUUGGGUUUCGGGAAGAGUAUGGCCAUAAGGCUGAAACUUAAAGGAAUUGAUGGAAGGGCACCACCAGGAGUGAAUCCUGCAGCUUAAUUU
This 1188-nucleotide ribosomal RNA is filed under the name Capsicum annuum. RNAcentral describes it as "SSU rRNA". It matches the Rfam family "Eukaryotic small subunit ribosomal RNA", at positions 1 to 1196 of the family's 1831-position model. The record is from RNAcentral. Lineage: Eukaryota; Viridiplantae; Streptophyta; Magnoliopsida; Solanales; Solanaceae.